CAGGAACCUGAAUAAUACAUAUGAGCAGCCCGACCCGACCACCAUUAUUAGAACCAGGACCCAUCAAACCACCCUGUACUCACCCAGCAGAGCGAGCAUUUAUAUGAGAGCAUUAAACCGAGGGCAACACAGACUAACAGUGAGACUCCAUUGUCCGAAAGCGCCGAAGUUUCACCCACUGGUGCGACAGAUAAUGAAGAGACCAUAACCCUGUUAAAGAAACAGAAGUCCUAAAUCUGCACAGUCAUGUGACUUGAUGCAAGUUAAUGUGGUUGGUUAAUUGAAAGCAUUCAUAGGAAUGACUCUAUUGAGUGUAUUUCUAUGGGUCAAAUCUGCUCUUUGCACAUUGGUAUUAAAAAUUAUAAUGCACAUGUAAGUGUUACUGUAUAACAUUAUCUGUCUCGUCUCCUGCACGUACAAGUGUUGCCUUGUCAUUGCAUUUGUAUUCCAAACACUCCACUGUGUGUAUGCUGGUCAUUGUCCCCCACACUGAAAUUGGGGAACGGACUGUGGCUCUCUUUCCGUCUGUUAGUACGUUCAUAUGUUAGUCACAAGCGUUAUCUCAGACAGCAUUGGCCCGGUUUGACUAAACUUUGGUGAAUGAUGCAUCUUGCCAUAGCUUUACAGCAUUUAGAAAAUUACACUGAUUGGCCAGAUGGUGGCCCUGUAACGAGAUUGAAAAUGCAAACUUUGAAAGGUCAUGCCCCUCACCCCAUUAUAACUUAAAUCAUGAAAUUUAGUAGAUCGGUUCCUGUCUUCACAAGGAACAAAUUUGCCUCUGGACCCAUAAGUUCCGCCAUGAUGGAUUUUCCUCCAUUUUGAAUUGUGUGAAAAACACUUAACCCUACUCUUCUGAUACCGAAUGACCAAUCUGCACGAAACUUGACAUGUGGCAUUUAUGGAAAACGAUCUCUCAACGCAAUAUUUUCCAGACUGGUAGCUAAAUCAACAUGGUCGCUAUUGACCAAUAAACAUUCACCUGGGUGUGGUCUGGCACAUAACUGCAUAUAAAUCAGUCAAAGACAUUCGUAUUGUAACAGAAUUUGAUAAACCCUGUCAAGAGUCAACAUAUGCAAGAACAUUCAUAUUGACCUUGCUGUGGCGCUAUAACGGGCAUAUAUCUGUUGAUCUGUUUGACUUAGUGAUGAAAUUUGGCACACAUGUUUAGGGAUAUGAGCUAACCCACACGAUAUCUCAGACACCACUGGCCCAAUUUUGACAAAAUUUGGGUGAAUGAUUAGUCAUGCUAUAGAGUUCUGAAAAUGACAAAAUUAUACGUUUUGGGCCGGGGGGGCUAUAGUAAUCAACUGUACAUACGUUAGUCAUUUGUGGGGGGAUGACAUGUCAUCUGUUUUUGAACUAUUUAACUCUGAUCCUUUGUAAAUUUAUAGUCACCACAACGCUUAACAAAGCCAUCACCGUUGAUCAUUGCUACAAGAAAACACAAAAAAAGAACAAGCACUCAAUAUUUUUUCAAUUGGUUUUACUAAAGGUCACACUAUGAGAAAAUAGGCCUAACCUGUAAUUAAAUAUCCACAAUUGUUACCCAGAGGAGGGUCAUUCUUUUUCAAUUUCAGUCAGGGAGAGGGUUUAGUCUUUUAUCCAUUUUUAUAUAUUUUUUAUUUAGUCCAGGGGAGGGUCAUGUAAUUUGUAAUCGAUUUAAAUGUCAUUGCUCAGUGUUUGAGAAUUAGCAUCUCGUGUGCCUGAUGCUGCACUAAACCCUGACUCUAUGCUGGGUGUGCAAUAUCAAGUGUGCCUAGUGUGGUCUCAAUAAAAUUAUCCAUAGCCUAUUCUAUAGGCCAGGGGUGGGCAAACCUUUUGGCUCGAG
This is a long non-coding RNA of Oncorhynchus keta (chum salmon), 1828 nucleotides long. RefSeq lists it as uncharacterized. NCBI's taxonomy places the organism in Eukaryota, Metazoa, Chordata, Actinopteri, Salmoniformes, Salmonidae. The transcript is spliced from 3 exons. The record is from RefSeq and is a predicted model, not a curated record.